RNAcentral lists this ribosomal RNA (1132 nucleotides) under Klebsiella pneumoniae. Its description in RNAcentral is "bacterial SSU rRNA". It matches the Rfam family "Bacterial small subunit ribosomal RNA", at positions 1 to 1126 of the family's 1533-position model. The record is from RNAcentral. Lineage: Bacteria; Pseudomonadati; Pseudomonadota; Gammaproteobacteria; Enterobacterales; Enterobacteriaceae.
AUUGAAGAGUUUGAUCAUGGCUCAGAUUGAACGCUGGCGGCAGGCCUAACACAUGCAAGUCGAGCGGUAGCACAGAGAGCUUGCUCUCGGGUGACGAGCGGCGGACGGGUGAGUAAUGUCUGGGAAACUGCCUGAUGGAGGGGGAUAACUACUGGAAACGGUAGCUAAUACCGCAUAACGUCGCAAGACCAAAGUGGGGGACCUUCGGGCCUCAUGCCAUCAGAUGUGCCCAGAUGGGAUUAGCUAGUAGGUGGGGUAACGGCUCACCUAGGCGACGAUCCCUAGCUGGUCUGAGAGGAUGACCAGCCACACUGGAACUGAGACACGGUCCAGACUCCUACGGGAGGCAGCAGUGGGGAAUAUUGCACAAUGGGCGCAAGCCUGAUGCAGCCAUGCCGCGUGUGUGAAGAAGGCCUUCGGGUUGUAAAGCACUUUCAGCGGGGAGGAAGGCGGUAAGGUUAAUAACCUCAUCGAUUGACGUUACCCGCAGAAGAAGCACCGGCUAACUCCGUGCCAGCAGCCGCGGUAAUACGGAGGGUGCAAGCGUUAAUCGGAAUUACUGGGCGUAAAGCGCACGCAGGCGGUCUGUCAAGUCGGAUGUGAAAUCCCCGGGCUCAACCUGGGAACUGCAUUCGAAACUGGCAGGCUAGAGUCUUGUAGAGGGGGGUAGAAUUCCAGGUGUAGCGGUGAAAUGCGUAGAGAUCUGGAGGAAUACCGGUGGCGAAGGCGGCCCCCUGGACAAAGACUGACGCUCAGGUGCGAAAGCGUGGGGAGCAAACAGGAUUAGAUACCCUGGUAGUCCACGCCGUAAACGAUGUCGAUUUGGAGGUUGUGCCCUUGAGGCGUGGCUUCCGGAGCUAACGCGUUAAAUCGACCGCCUGGGGAGUACGGCCGCAAGGUUAAAACUCAAAUGAAUUGACGGGGGCCCGCACAAGCGGUGGAGCAUGUGGUUUAAUUCGAUGCAACGCGAAGAACCUUACCUGGUCUUGACAUCCACAGAACUUUCCAGAGAUGGAUUGGUGCCUUCGGGAACUGUGAGACAGGUGCUGCAUGGCUGUCGUCAGCUCGUGUUGUGAAAUGUUGGGUUAAGUCCCGCAACGAGCGCAACCCUUAUCCUUUGUUGCCAGCGGUU